Molecule: long non-coding RNA, 824 nt
Organism: Vicia villosa (hairy vetch)
Lineage: Eukaryota; Viridiplantae; Streptophyta; Magnoliopsida; Fabales; Fabaceae
Exons: 4
Source: RefSeq, a predicted model, not a curated record
UUUCUUGCGCCGUAACCCUAAAAACCCAAAUCGAUAUAUCCCUCCCCAAAUAAGUUUUUCCUUGUUUCAUUUUCAUGCUAUAGAUUUAUUUUCUAUUUCAUUCUAGUUUUGUAUUUCAUUUGACCAUUCACAAUCCAAAUCAAAUUUUGUUUUUCACCUCAAAACCCCAAUUGACAUUCCCCUACAAAAACUUGAAUCGAUUCAACUAUCUUCAUCAAAAUCAAUUUCUAAAGUCACUACCGAAAUCAAUUCUUCUCCUUCCUAAGAUCGUUCUUAUUUCUGUUUUCAAGUGGACGGGACGAGUUUGAAGUAUGCAUUACCCUCUCAUUUUGUUAUCCCUCGGUUCAACUGCGAUCCAACUUCGACAGGUUGAGUUUGUAAAAAAGAGGGUUUUUCUUUUGGAAAAGGGGCUCAAUGUUGAGUACUAGAAAGAAUACUUUGGCUUUAACUGUAACCAUUAUGUUACAAAUACCGCAUGCGGGAAAGUAAAGGAAAGAUAGCAAGUAAGAGAAAAGUUUAGACAGAAUCUAAGAGAUGCUUGAUGUAAACUAAGAGAAAAAUAUAGAAAGCUUUCCGCCCCCCUCAAGAUAGGACCAUGGUUGUUGCGUGCCUUGCUAAAGUUGCUCAGAACAUGGAUUUUUCUAUUGCAGAAUAUAUGGAUGUAAUUCUGUUGAAACAUCUAAAGUCAGAGCUCUUGUAGGCAAAGUUUGUUGUCAUCUAAUUUCAUUAUAGUUAAAUAAACUAAUUAUUUUGUCAUUUUUCUAGACUUAUACUUCUAAGUGUUGAAUUUAUAGUAUUAAGUAAUGUUAGACAUUUUGUGUCUA